This 253-nucleotide ribosomal RNA is filed under the name uncultured bacterium. RNAcentral describes it as "partial 16S ribosomal RNA". It matches the Rfam family "Bacterial small subunit ribosomal RNA", at positions 524 to 776 of the family's 1533-position model. The record is from RNAcentral.
UACGAAGGGGGCGAGCGUUGUUCGGAUUUACUGGGCGUAAAGGGCGCGUAGGCGGCGGACCAAGUCGAGUGUGAAAGCCCCGGGCUCAACCUGGGAGGUGCGCUCGAGACUGGUUUGCUAGAGUUCGGGAGAGGAGCGUGGAAUUCCCAGUGUAGAGGUGAAAUUCGUAGAUAUUGGGAAGAACACCGGUGGCGAAGGCGGCGCUCUGGACCGAGACUGACGCUGAGGCGCGAAGGCGUGGGGAGCAAACAGG